CCUACGGGUGGCAGCAGUGAGGAAUAUUGGUCAAUGGACGCAAGUCUGAACCAGCCAUGCCGCGUGCAGGAUGACGGCUCUAUGAGUUGUAAACUGCUUUUGUACGAGGGUAAACCCCGAUACGUGUAUCGGGUUGACAGUAUUGUACGAAUAAGGAACGGCUAACUCCGUUCCAUCAGCCGCGGUAAUACGGAGGAGCCGAGCGUUAUCCGGAUUUAUUGGGGUUAAAGGUUGCGUAGGCGGUUUGGUAAGUUAGAGGUGAAAUGUCGGGGCUGAACCCCGAAACUGCCUGUAAUACUGUUGGACUAGAGAAGAGUUGCGGGAGGCGGAAUGUAUGGGGUAGCGGGGAAAUGCUUAGAGAACAUACAGAACACCGAUUGCGAAGGGAGCUUACCAAACUAGAUCUGACGUUGAGGGACGAAAGCGUGGGUAGCAAACAGGAUUAGAUACCCCUGGUAGUC
RNAcentral lists this ribosomal RNA (461 nucleotides) under uncultured bacterium. RNAcentral describes it as "partial 16S ribosomal RNA". It matches the Rfam family "Bacterial small subunit ribosomal RNA", at positions 338 to 795 of the family's 1533-position model. The record is from RNAcentral.